CUGGAGAAAAGGAGGCUGAGGGGAGACCUUAUCGCUCUCUACAACUACCUGAAAGAACGUUGUAGUGAGGUGGCUGCUGGUCUCUUAUGUCA
Haliaeetus leucocephalus (bald eagle) is the source of this 92-nucleotide long non-coding RNA. RefSeq lists it as uncharacterized. The record is from RefSeq and is a predicted model, not a curated record. Lineage: Eukaryota; Metazoa; Chordata; Aves; Accipitriformes; Accipitridae. The transcript is spliced from 3 exons.